UACGUAGGGACCAAGCGUUGUUCGGAUUUACUGGGCGUAAAGGGCUCGUAGGUGGCCAACUAAGUCAGACGUGAAAUCCCUCGGCUUAACCGGGGAACUGCGUCUGAUACUGGAUGGCUUGAGUUUGGGAGAGGGAUGCGGAAUUCCAGGUGUAGCGGUGAAAUGCGUAGAUAUCUGGAGGAACACCGGUGGCGAAGGCGGCAUCCUGGACCAACACUGACACUGAGGAGCGAAAGCCAGGGGAGCAAACGGG
RNAcentral lists this ribosomal RNA (253 nucleotides) under uncultured bacterium. Its description in RNAcentral is "partial 16S ribosomal RNA". It matches the Rfam family "Bacterial small subunit ribosomal RNA", at positions 524 to 776 of the family's 1533-position model. The record is from RNAcentral.